This 510-nucleotide ribosomal RNA is filed under the name uncultured bacterium. Its description in RNAcentral is "partial 16S ribosomal RNA". It matches the Rfam family "Bacterial small subunit ribosomal RNA", at positions 28 to 507 of the family's 1533-position model. The record is from RNAcentral.
GACGAACGCUGGCGGCGUGCUUAACACAUGCAAGUCGAACGAAGAGCGAUGGAAGCUUGCUUCUAUCAAUCUUAGUGGCGAACGGGUGAGUAACGCGUAAUCAACCUGCCCUUCAGAGGGGGACAACAGUUGGAAACGACUGCUAAUACCGCAUACGAUCUAAUCUCGGCAUCGAGGAUAGAUGAAAGGUGGCCUCUACAUGUAAGCUAUCACUGAAGGAGGGGAUUGCGUCUGAUUAGCUAGUUGGAGGGGUAACGGCCCACCAAGGCGAUGAACAGUAGCCGGCCAGAAAGGAGGAACGGCCACAUUGGGACGGAGACACGGCCCAGACUACUACGGGAGGCAGCAGUGGGGAAUCUUCCGCAAUGGACGAAAGUCUGACGGAGCAACGCCGCGUGAGUGAUGACGGCCGUCGGGUUGUAAAGCUCUGUUAAUCGGGACGAAAGGCCUUCUUGCGAAUAGUGAGAAGGAUUGACGGUACCGGAAUAGAAAGCCACGGCUAACUACGUG